Molecule: long non-coding RNA, 1298 nt
Filed under: Salmo salar (Atlantic salmon)
Lineage: Eukaryota; Metazoa; Chordata; Actinopteri; Salmoniformes; Salmonidae
Description: lncRNA (ENSSSAG00000095550.1)
Source: RNAcentral
GCAGGUUAGGAAACACUUUGUGGCCUAUUGGAUAAUGAACUACUUAAAACAUUUUUUUUAUAAUAGAUAAGUAUAUUACAUGGGAAGAAGCGUUCCCAACUUACUGGGAGGAUACGAUUAGGGUAGUUGGUUAACUAGGAUCUCUCUCUCUUUAAAUAAUGGAUUACAUUUUAGCUGAUCAGGUAAAUUAUAUAGAAUGCCAGAGUUAGGGAGGCCAGAACAGGUAGACAUAGAAGUUGAAGAUAUACUAACAGAACACAUGAGAAGACUGUUUGUUAACCAAACCCGUAUGUCCGAGAUUUUGUGUCCAACAGGUGAAUUACAGCAGAAGGUGAUUCACUCAAUCCAACCAGGUGACUGGGUGUGGAUCCAGUCCCUGAGGACAAAAGAACUGGAAGCAGCCACAGUGGGAGGGGCCAUACCAAGUGCUCCUGGUAACAGCCUUUGCGGGGAACUCAUUGGGGUCGACUACCUCUUCUCCCAGACCCAUGGUGACCAGAGGCUGGAGUCCAACCUCGGUAAGGACCCGGAUGUCCCAGACGGGACACCUGAUGUAUUUGAGGGAGGAGAGGGAGAGGAGGAGGACCUGAGCGAGCUUGAGGAGGAGGAGGAUGACCCCACCAUGUCCUUGCCCGCCCUCGAUGACAGUCUCCCAGCAGUACCUCCACUCAGGAAGGCCACUCCACCGCUCACUAAGCCCACUCAACCCAACUCAUCCCAGGUACCUGUCGUCACACCCCCUGAUGACACUAUGGAGGUGGACACUACACCAGCUGCCAGUCAGGACCUGGAGGAUGACGAGUACAUAGGACCUGAUGGGGUUAGUGGAUACCAGCACGCGGUCCUCCUUGCCAAGAGUCUGGUGAGGCUCCUGGAGGGGCCAUGGAUCUCUAAUAGGCAAAUAGAGGAGAUCAUGGCUCUCUGGGGAAAUCUCCCGGAAAGAGACAAGGCGGCUGUCUCCUACCCAGAGAGGUUCCGGGACCGAGUCCUGCAGGGGCGCUUUAAAAAUUCCAAGAACUCCACUGUGAAGGGGGAAGAGAGUAUGAAGCGGUGCGUACUACACAUUGUUCUAAACUCACAUAAAGACAUGAGUGCAUUUCUCAUUAACGUGAUGUUUCCUUUUGUUAACCUCUUACAUCUAGACGUUCCGCUCGCGGAACACCUGCUCAAAUAUCCAAUGAUAGGCGUGGCGUGAAUUACAAAUUCCUCAAAAAUACAAAAACUUCAAUUUUUCAAACAUAUGACUAUUUCACAGCAUUUUAAAGAUAAGACUCUCCUUUAUCUAACCACACUGUCCG